RNAcentral lists this ribosomal RNA (504 nucleotides) under uncultured bacterium. RNAcentral's name for it is "bacterial SSU rRNA". It matches the Rfam family "Bacterial small subunit ribosomal RNA", at positions 9 to 507 of the family's 1533-position model. The record is from RNAcentral.
GAGUUUGAUCAUGGACUCAGAACGAACGCUGGCGGCGCGCCUAAUACAUGCAAGUCGAGCGAGAAGGUGUAGCAAUACACUUGUAAAGCGGCGAACGGGUGAGGAAUGCAUGGGUAACCUACCCUCGAGUGGGAAUAACUAGCCGAAAGGUUAGCUAAUACCGCAUACGUUUCCGGAACUUCGGUUUCGGAAAGAAAGCAAUACCGUGGGUAUUGCGCUCCUGGAUGGGCUCAUGUCCUAUCAGCUUGUUGGUGAGGUAACGGCUCACCAAGGCUUCGACGGGUAGCUGGUCUGAGAGGACGAUCAGCCACACUGGCACUGCGACACGGGCCGGACUCCUACGGGAGGCAGCAGUAAGGAAUAUUGCGCAAUGGACGAAAGUCUGACGCAGCGACGCCGCGUGGGGGAUGAAGGUCUUCGGAUUGUAAACCCCUUUCGGGAGGGAAGAUGGAGUGGGUAACCACUUGGACGGUACCUCCAGAAGCAGCCACGGCUAACUUCGUG